This 107-nucleotide small nuclear RNA is filed under the name Tupaia belangeri (northern tree shrew). Lineage: Eukaryota; Metazoa; Chordata; Mammalia; Scandentia; Tupaiidae. The record is from RNAcentral.
GUGCUCACUUCAGCAGCCACAUAUAGUAAAAUUGGAAUGAUACAGAGAAGAUUAGCAUGGCCCUGCACGAGAAUGACACGCAAAUUCAUGAAGCAUUCUAUAUUAAA